GCAAAAUUGACUGAGGGGAAAUUUACCAAUAAAUGAUAGAAUCCAGAGCUGGCACAUAGGAUUCAUUUCACUAAUUCUGAUAUUUAUUAAUGGGUGCCUGGGAUGCUGUAUUGAGAAAGAUUUUGAAAUUCAGAGUCAAGGAUUAUAGUCAGCUUUCCACAUCUAUGGGUUCUGUAUCUUCAGAUCAAAAUAGGGGAAAAAAAUGGAUCUGUACUGAACACAUACAAACCCUUUUUGUUGUUAUUCCCUGAAUAACUCAAUAUAACAAUCACUUACAUGGCAUUUGCAUUGUAUUAGGUAUUACAAAUAAUCCAGAGAACAUUUAAAGUAUACAGGAGGGUGUGUAUUAUGUUACAUGCAAACAAUAUGCAUUUUGUACAAGGGACUUGAGCAUCCCUGGGUUUUGGUAUCCAAGUGGGGACAGUCGUAGAACCUACCUCCAUUGGAUACCAAGGAUGACUCUGCUCUGAUGGGUGAGGAACAUGUUUCUUGGACUCAAGGGGCAACUAUAAUGACCAUCCUGCAUCUUUCCUUUCUUUGUUGAAUGCUAGGAGUCUUAAAACCUAGUCUCAAACCUUGAAUUUAGAUCAUCCAAUGACGACUAUAGGAUAUUGUGUAUGUGAAGACUGUCUCGGGUAUUACUGUGGUGUUACUUCAACAGUUCUGGGGACCAUGGGGGGAUGAUGUAACACCACAGUGGAUGAGAUCAGAAUUGGUUACAGGCAAACUACCUUUGAAAACUAAAAUUAUACUUUACAAUAUUCUCAACCUUAAAAAGGAUUGUUGGGAUGCUUUUAGUCGUAGGAUUGCCUCAACACCACCCCAUAUGUGUCUAAUGCAUCCCUUUUAUGAUGGAAGGAAUCUUUUGCCAUCCCUUCUAUGAUGGAAGAAUGAAGCAGAAAAGAAGCUGAAUGGUUGCUACAUUAUUACUGUGCCCAUACUAUCCAAAAGAGUCUCCAGAUUCAAUGCAAUCCUUAUCAAAAUUCCAAUGACAGCUUUUACAGAAAUCAAAGAGCGAUACUAAAAAUUUACAUGAAAGCACAAAGGACCCAGAGCAGCAAAAGCAAUCAUAAGCAAAAAGAACAAAGCUGGAGGUUUAAAAAUAUAGUACAAAGCAAUAGUAAUCCAAAUGCUACGGUACUCACAUAAAAACAGACAGAUCAAUACAACAGAACAGAGAGCCCAGAAAGAAAUCCAUGCAUUUAUGGUCAAUUGAUUGUUCACAAAGAUGCCAAGAACACAGUGGAGAAAGGACAGUCUUUUCUCUAGGGUAUAUUGGGAUAACUGGAUAUCCACAUGCAGGAGAAUUAAAUGUGACCUUUAUCUCACACCAUAUAUAAAAAUCAACUCAAAAUCUAUCGCAGACUCAAAUAUAAGACCUGAAACUAUAAUGUUACUGGAAGAAACUGGAAAGAAAAAGCUCUAUGACAUCAGUCUGAACAUGGCAACCAAAGCAAAAAUGGACAAAUGAGACUUCAUCAAACUAAAAAUCUUCUGCACAGCAAAGGAAACCGUCAACAGAACUAAGGGACAAUCUAUUAAACAGGAGAAAACAUUUGCAACCCAUACGUGUGAUAAGAUGUUAAUACCCAAAAUAUACAAGGAAUACAAACGACUCAAAAGUAAGAAAAUAAAUAACCUGACUUUAAAACGGGAAAAGGAUCUAAAUAGAUAUUUCUCAAGAGAAGAUAUACAGAUGCCCAACAGGACUCAAAAAAUGCUCAAAUCACUAAUCAUCAAGGAAAUGCAGAUUAAAACCACAAUGUGAUACCAUCUGGAACCUGUCAGAAUGGCUAUUAACAAAAAGACAAAAGGCUGGUGAGGAUAGGGAGCAAGGCGUUGUGGUUUGGAUGUGAGGUGUGCCCCAAAAGCUCACAUGUGAGACAAUGCAAGAAGGUUUAGAGGUGAAAUGAUUGGGUUAUGAGAGCCUCAUCCUGAACAGUGCAUUAAUCCCCUGAUAAGGGAUUAACUGGGUGGUAACUGUAGGCAGGUAGGGUGUGGCUGAAGGAGGUAGAUCUUUUGGGUGCCUUUGGGAUAUAUAUUUGUCCUUGGCAAGUGGAGUCUCUCUCUCUUCUUCUUUUGGUGGCCAUGUCUUGACCUGCUUUUCUCUGCAACACACUUCCG
RNAcentral lists this long non-coding RNA (2124 nucleotides) under Marmota monax (woodchuck). The record is from RNAcentral. Lineage: Eukaryota; Metazoa; Chordata; Mammalia; Rodentia; Sciuridae.